RNAcentral lists this ribosomal RNA (301 nucleotides) under uncultured bacterium. RNAcentral describes it as "partial 16S ribosomal RNA". It matches the Rfam family "Bacterial small subunit ribosomal RNA", at positions 509 to 807 of the family's 1533-position model. The record is from RNAcentral.
CAGCAGCCGCGGGAAUACAGAGGGUGCGAGCGUUAAUCGGAUUUACUGGGCGUAAAGCGUGCGUAGGCGGCUAAUUGAGUCGGAUGUGAAAUCCCCGAGCUUAACUUGGGAAUUGCAUUCGAUACUGGGAAGCUAGAGUAUGGGAGAGGAUGGUAGAAUUCCAGGUGUAGCGGUGAAAUGCGUAGAGAUCUGGAGGAAUACCGAUGGCGAAGGCAGCCAUCUGGCCUAAUACUGACGCUGAGGUACGAAAGCAUGGGGAGCAAACAGGAUUAGAUACCCCUGUAGUCCCUGUCUCUUAUAC